GUAGGGAUAGCCAAGCAUGGUCUACGGCGCUGGACCGAGGCUCCAGUUCUUAGUGAAACGAGGGUUCAAAUCCCUCUCCCUACA
This 84-nucleotide transfer RNA is filed under the name Promethearchaeum syntrophicum. RNAcentral's name for it is "tRNA-Leu (GAG) (tRNA-Leu-GAG-1-1)". It matches the Rfam family "tRNA". From Rfam's summary of the family: Transfer RNA (tRNA) molecules are approximately 80 nucleotides in length. Their secondary structure includes four short double-helical elements and three loops (D, anti-codon, and T loops). The record is from RNAcentral. Lineage: Archaea; Promethearchaeati; Promethearchaeota; Promethearchaeia; Promethearchaeales; Promethearchaeaceae.